Coturnix japonica (Japanese quail) is the source of this 1006-nucleotide long non-coding RNA. RefSeq lists it as uncharacterized. NCBI's taxonomy places the organism in Eukaryota, Metazoa, Chordata, Aves, Galliformes, Phasianidae. The record is from RefSeq and is a predicted model, not a curated record.
ACCCAACAGCGCGGCCACUAUUCCCAGCAAUCCAGUUCCAGCUCCCAGCUCAAUCACCGACCGAUCCCUCAGAUCGAUGCCUCCCAUCUCCAGAUAAGCGGACAGGACGACAGCCUGACAGGGAGACAAGGGUGAGAGCCCAGCACAGCAGUGAAGUUGGAAGAAAUGUAACUUGGUUCCACCUUUAAGUGCUGCAGAAGGCAAAAUGGACGUCUGAGCUGCAGAUAAACUUGCAAAGUGGGAAGCAGCUCAUUGUAAGCGAUGGUUCUGCAGACACUGCACAUACCAAAUGGACCUUGGAGACAAGCACAACGUGGGGAAAAUACCUCAUCCAUCUCACGUCUCUGGUUGCCACGGCAAAGACAGGUAUAAAUAGAAACAAUCUGAUAUACUUCUUAAAAACUCUGUAUCUGGGAACACGCAUUGUUGGUAACCCUCUGACAGCAACUCCUUAUCCUAAAUGGCUGCAGUGACUAUUGGCCUAGAGACUUCUGGUCCUAUGUGUUUAAUGGCUUCCUGUCUAAAUAAAAAUCAGCUACUUCUGCUUGUCCUUCCACUGCAACAUGAAAACGAUCUUUGAAGGAACAUCUGUUUUUUGCUAAAAAACUUCCACCAACCAACCAAACACCAGCUAACACCAGGAAUGGAGGGGGACCUGCACAGGAAAGAAGGCUUUCUACCCAGCUACCAGCAGCAGCAGCCAUUCAAGUCACUAGCAGUGAAGUGACGAGCAGUUUGUACAUGCACAUGUUCACUGGUAGCUUCUGGACUCAUCACACAAGAGAGAGAUAUGGGGCACUGAAUUGCUUUCUGUUAAACAAAAGAGGAAUAAGCCAGAGAUUAAUUCUGCUCAUCACAGCUUGAAGUUACAGAAUAAAGCCUGAUUGGUCUGGACCAUCUUUGAAACCAACAGGAUGAAUUUAAAGUGAAAACAUAUGAAACUAACAGGUUAUUUGCUGACAUUAUAACUUGCUGGUUCUGCAAGAAGUGUUAAAUAAGAAAAUAA